GACGUAGGGGGCCAGCGUUGCUCGGAAUUACUGGGUGUAAAGGGUUCGUAGGCGGUGUGGCAAGUCGGGAGUGAAAUCUCUGGGCUCAACCCAGAGUCUGCUUCCGAAACUGCUGUGCUUGAGUGUGGGAGAGGCGCGUGGAAUUGCAGGUGUAGCGGUGAAAUGCGUAGAUAUCUGCAGGAACACCCGUGGCGAAGGCGGCUCACUGGCCCGGUACUGACGCUGAGGUGCGAAAGCGUGGGGAGCAAACAGG
RNAcentral lists this ribosomal RNA (253 nucleotides) under uncultured bacterium. RNAcentral describes it as "partial 16S ribosomal RNA". It matches the Rfam family "Bacterial small subunit ribosomal RNA", at positions 524 to 776 of the family's 1533-position model. The record is from RNAcentral.